UAACGCGUGAGUAACCUGCCUCUAAGAGGGGAAUAACAUUCUGAAAAGAGUGCUAAUACCGCAUAACAUAUAUUUAUCGCAUGGUAGAUAUAUCAAAGAUUUAUCGCUUAGAGAUGGACUCGCGUCCGAUUAGUUAGUUGGUGAGGUAACGGCUCACCAAGACUGCGAUCGGUAGCCGGACUGAGAGGUUGAACGGCCACAUUGGGACUGAGACACGGCCCAG
This 223-nucleotide ribosomal RNA is filed under the name uncultured bacterium. RNAcentral describes it as "partial 16S ribosomal RNA". It matches the Rfam family "Bacterial small subunit ribosomal RNA", at positions 111 to 334 of the family's 1533-position model. The record is from RNAcentral.